GAUGAACGCUGGCGGCGUGCUUAACACAUGCAAGUCGAACGCUACACAUUCCUUCGGGUGUGUGUGGAGUGGCGAACGGGUGAGUAACACGUGGGCAACCUGCCCCUCACACUGGGAUAACUCAGGGAAACUUGAGCUAAUACCGGAUACUCCGAGCUGACCACCUGGUCUACUCGGGAAAGCUCCGGCGGUGAGGGAUGGGCCCGCGGUCCAUUAGCUUGUUGGUGAGGUAACGGCUCACCAAGGCCGCGAUGGAUAGCCGGGCUGAGAGGCCGAUCGGCCACACUGGGACUGAGACACGGCCCAGACUCCUACGGGUGGCUG
RNAcentral lists this ribosomal RNA (324 nucleotides) under uncultured Pseudomonadota bacterium. RNAcentral's name for it is "bacterial SSU rRNA". It matches the Rfam family "Bacterial small subunit ribosomal RNA", at positions 28 to 351 of the family's 1533-position model. The record is from RNAcentral. Lineage: Bacteria; Pseudomonadati; Pseudomonadota.